Arachis stenosperma is the source of this 2575-nucleotide long non-coding RNA. RefSeq lists it as uncharacterized. The record is from RefSeq and is a predicted model, not a curated record. The transcript is spliced from 14 exons. NCBI's taxonomy places the organism in Eukaryota, Viridiplantae, Streptophyta, Magnoliopsida, Fabales, Fabaceae.
CAAUGAAACCCUAAAAGUUCAGCGUUCAUCUUCUCGCUCGAACCCUCUCGAACCCUAAAAGCUAAGGCGCCGUUAGCUUCAUCUUCGCGAUCGAACCCAGCCCUGGUCGUGGUGCUGCUCGCCUCUCUCUGUCGCGGUGCUGCUCAGCCUCAUUGUGGUGCUCCUCGCCUCUCUCUGUCGCGGUUCUGCUCAGCCUCAUCUUCUCGAACCCAGCCCUGGUCGUGGUGCUGCUCGCCUCUCUCUGUGUCGCGGUUCUGCUCGCCUCUCAUCCCGCAUCUGGCAUCAAGGUGCUGCUGAGUAGUUGGGGAGCAGGUGUUUGCUCAUCCUCUUCACUCUUUGAGCAUCUCUCAAGAGCUAAGCUUCUUUGUUUUUCUUUUAUCAGAACCAUGUGUUCUCGAAGCUUUCCGGUGGAGGAGCAAUGAUGAGAAUGGUGGUUUUCUGUUCUUCAUGCCUGAUAUCCUUAGUUGAUUCAGGCCCUUAGUUUACUAUACUUGAGCAAUGGAUCAGGGAACACAAGGCAUCAUCAACAUUCUCUACUGCAUGAAAACUGCUUGAAGAGGAAAGCACCUACUAGUGAACAGAUAGGUCCACAUCAUAUUACUGGCAAUGGGGUUGGAUUUAAACCAGACAUAUUGGACAUGGAUGUAAUGGAGAAAGUUCUUGAGGUUAGCAGUGAAGAUGCAGUCAACAUGCCCAGGGUGCUGGCCUUGAAGGAAGGACUCAUGCUACUGACUAUUUUCUUCGAGUAGAAGCUUUGUUGGCUCAGAAGAUGUUUAAAGAGUUCGAAUUUGGGCAAAAGAUGCAUCGGAGCUUCUAUUUUAAAAUGGGUUGAAAAAGUAGAUGCAUGGAGCUUCUAUUUUAAUAUGGGUUUGUGAAGUUGCAGCUUUCUUUGAAGUUAUAUGAAGUUGCAGAAAAAUAGAAACCUUUUUAAAGAAAGAAAACUGCAAUUAUAUUUCAUCUCCAUAAUGAGAAUACUGACGGUAGUGUGGCUAUUGAAAGUUCAAAGGCUGCUGAUGAAGCUGCUGAAAUUGUUCGUAGUGAAAUUAUUCUGGCAUCAAAGGUUCACUGCAUAGUAUUCACUGAAUGAAUUGCACAGACUUGAUAUUGGCACUACCAUGGAAGAGUUGUAAGAAUGUUUCCAUAAAGGUUCUCUCAUGAGCAGGGGUGCGCUCAAUAACAUUUCAUCCAGAUGGAAGAAUUGGACAUGAAGAUGCCUUAAAGGGACUUUUCAUAUUUUUCUGAUUAGAGGACUUGCGAGAGAUAAUAAAAUCUAAGAAGAUAGUGUUCUGGAGGCUGAAGUUGAGAUGUUCAAGAAGAUUUAAGAUCAAAUUUCUAGAUUUGAUUAUAAGCUGGUUUUUUAAUUACUGAAGACUGAAGUAUCUUGUUGGGAGCAACCUUUGUGAUGGAUGACACAGAUUGAGAUUGAACUGAGUCCACUCUAUCUUGAAUUAUUCUUGGACCACCUGAAUCUGUAUUUUGAAAUGCACUGUCUCCAUCAUCAACUAUAAUUAUCUCUUGCAUAAUUUAAAGUAAUAAUAUAAAGAUUUAAUUCAUUUAGCUUACAUUGAAUUGUAGUCCAAUCCAUGUUGCUUUGGUUCGAUAUAGUUAUAUCUACUGUACCUGUUAACCAAAAAUAGAUCUCUCUUUUAUUGAGAUACAAAUUCGUUCUCUUUAAGAGCACCAAAAACCUGAUUAUCUAUAUAUCAUUUCAGCAAUUCAGGUUGAAUGUUAUCUGGUCAUACAAAAUAAAUUUUACCUUCCUUACUUUGAGAAACACUGGUAUGUUUUUGUUGAGCUCGUUUCGAUGCUCUUUUCAUCCUAGCAUGCUUUGCAAGGUCUGAAUAUCCAAAAGUUAAUUUGUUUACCCGAUAUGCACUGGUAGAUAAGUGUUUGGUGAAUUGUUUACAAUCUAUUUCAUUACCUAUCAUUGGAAUUUCUGGUGCUAAUGUAUUGGUUGAUUGAAGGGGAACCUCAUUCAGAUUAUACUGUCCAUUGCUGACAUUCUCUCCCACCCUUAUGGCUAGGUCUACAUUCCUUCCAUUACUAACAAAACAAAGGCUGUUUUCCUUAUCCUCUUCAUACAUUUUCUUUGCAUUGUUAUGUACGCAAUCUAUAGUGCCUGCAUUACGAAUUCAAGGUUAACCCGAGUAUUUUUUGAAAAAAAUUAUGUAGCCUUUUAAAUCUGUAUCUAAAUAGUAAUUACUUAAUGGUAUAGAACCCCUUGUUUGGCUAAGUCCCUCCAUGCUUCUUCCAUUGAAUUGUGACUGUCCUGUAGAUAAGAAUAUGAAAACAUCAGUGCCUGAAUGGAGGACCUGCCACCAUAUUUUUCAUGAAUGAAAAUUAUCGUAACAAUAAUUUUUUUGACCACAUGACAAAGUAAAUGCAUUAAGAAAAUCUGCACUAAUUUUUUGACACUUGUAUGUGUUUAUAUAACCCAGGUUUUAAGGUGUUUAACUUUUUACAUUCAGCAGUUAAUGGAAAAUUCCCAUAGUUUGUCCAAGAUUCCUCACUGUCCAGAUGCAUUCAGUAUAAGUAUAUACUUCUUAAGCUUAAAUCUAAUCCAAUACAUGAACAU